UGAGGAAGAUAAUGACGGUACUCAACAAGGAAGUGACGGCUAACUACGUGCCAGCAGCCGCGGUAAAACGUAGGUCACAAGCGUUGUCCGGAAUUACUGGGUGUAAAGGGAGCGCAGGCGGGCGAUCAAGUUGGAAGUGAAAUCCAUGGGCUCAACCCAUGAACUGCUUUCAAAACUGGUCGUCUUGAGUAGUGCAGAGGUAGGCGGAAUUCCCGGUGUAGCGGUGGAAUGCGUAGAUAUCGGGAGGAACACCAGUGGCGAAGGCGGCCUACUGGGCACCAACUGACGCUGAGGCUCGAAAGUGUGGGUAGCAAACAGGAUUAGAUACCCUGGUAGUCCACACCGUAAACGAUGAUUACUAGGUGUUGGGAGAUUGACCCUCUCAGUGCCGCAGUUAACACAAUAAGUAAUCCACCUGGGGAGUACGACCGCAAGGUUGAAACUCAAAGGAAUUGACGGGGGCCCGCACAAGCAGUGGAGUAUGUGGUUUAAUUCGACGCAACGCGAAGAACCUUACCAAGUCUUGACAUCCUCUGACGAACGUAGAAAUACGUUUUCUCUUCGGAGCAGAGAGACAGGUGGUGCAUGGUUGUCGUCAGCUCGUGUCGUGAGAAUGUUGGGUUAAAGUCCCGCAACGAGCGCAACCCUUAUGGUCAGUUACUACGCAAGAGGACUCUGGCCGGACUG
RNAcentral lists this ribosomal RNA (687 nucleotides) under Faecalibacterium prausnitzii. Its description in RNAcentral is "bacterial SSU rRNA". It matches the Rfam family "Bacterial small subunit ribosomal RNA", at positions 440 to 1151 of the family's 1533-position model. The record is from RNAcentral. Lineage: Bacteria; Bacillati; Bacillota; Clostridia; Eubacteriales; Oscillospiraceae.